This is a long non-coding RNA of Alexandromys fortis (reed vole), 10000 nucleotides long. RefSeq lists it as uncharacterized. Lineage: Eukaryota; Metazoa; Chordata; Mammalia; Rodentia; Cricetidae. The transcript has 3 exons. The record is from RefSeq and is a predicted model, not a curated record.
CUUCAGUAGAUUGGAGUGAGAGUUCUCUGGCUGGAGUUAGACUUGGGAUUCUUAGAGGUUGGCCCAAAGCGUGUUUUGGGUACUGUGUUAGUUACUUUUCUCAACCAGGGGAGGAACAAUUUAUUUUAGUUCAUGGUGUCAGAGAAUUUAGUCCUUGGUUGCCUAUCUAUGUGCACUUGAGAAGAACAUCAUGGGGACAGGAGCGUGUGGUUGAGGAGAGCUCUUCUCGGCUGAGCUAACCAGGAAGCAGGAAGGGAGACAGGAAGUGGUCAGGAACCCCAAGGGCCUUCCCCCUGUGAUUUGCUUUUUUUCAUCAGAGUUCCAUUUCCAAAGUUUCCAGAACCUUCCAAAAUGGUGUCUCCAUUGGGAACUAGGGAUACUUCAUACGCAGACUAAAACAAGUUCCCUGUGGAUCCUGGGGUCUUUGUAGCAUAAUACAACUUUCUCUUAUGAGGGAACCAUAGUCUGAGUACACAAGAGGGCUGGUAAGUUAGCAACGGGGAGAAAAGAGUCUGUCUCAAGUAUCUCUUGUUGCCACUGCCCCUUGCGGCAUUUUGGGCCUCUCCCCUUCCUAAAAUUCCAUCGCUUCCUGAACAGGAUGGCAUAACUACUGCCUCCUGCCUUUGGUGUGAAUGUCUGUACCAGGAUCUAAACUGUUAGCAAAGACUGUGAUACAUGAGCAUAGUUAUUGCUACCUUUUUUACCCACUAAAAAUAUUUAUUACUUUGUGUGUGUGUAAAGGUGUCUGUGUCAUAGUGUAUAUGUGGAGGUCAGAGGACAGACAGUUUGAAGGAGUUGAUUCUCUCUCCAAAAUGAGGUAUCGAACGCUAGGCAGUUCGGGUUGUCAGGCUUGGCACCUUUUCCUGCUUACCCCAUUGCUACUUUUACUGUUGAUCCUUCCUAUUUCAUUUCCUUAUUCAACAUUUUGGGGAGAUAAGGAGUGUCUAGAAAGGAAAGGAAGAGUGGAAGAAGAAAGAGGGAGCCCAGAGCAAGAAGGGAAAACUUGAUACUGCUGCAAAUUCGACUUGUGGGCCCAGAGAGAUAGCUCAGCAGUUAAGAGCACGUGCUGCUCUUGCUGAGAAUCAGGGUUCAAGUUCCCAGCACUCACACAGUGGCUAACAAGCAUCUGCAAGUCCCAUGCCAGGUCAUCUGACGCCCUCUUCUGGCCUCUGUGAGCACUGCAUGCAUGUGAUACACAGACAUGCAGAGGAAACAUCCAGAUACACAAAAAUAAAUAAACCUUAAAAAAGUCCACUUGUAACAAUUUAUUGAUAGUUUCCUAUGAACAGAUGUUGCACAUAGAGACUGGAGUAAGCAUCCCUUGUGACAGUUCUGCACUACACAUCACAAAGAAGGGGAGUGAAGCUCAGGGGUGUCAGGGAUGGUCCAAACCCAAGGCAUGGACAGGAGGAAUGGAGACAGGUAGCUUGAUGCCACAGCCUGACUCCCAGCCUCUCACAGAUCUCCAGCUCGGAGGCAAGGGAUGCCCUUCCACUAAGGUUUUGGAACACUCACUUCUUUCUGGGAAGAGUCCGACUGGAACUGCUAACGGCACUCUGGAGAGGUUUGUCCUGUCACAGAGUUGUGUACACAGUCAGGGAAACACGUGGCAAAUUUUGGUGAUUCUAGUUUCCCUGACUCUAAGCUUGUGAUUUUGAACCCUGUUGCCCAAGCUUGCUGCAGGAGAACUUUGCGAAAUCCUUGCCUUGUAGGCUGCCCAGAGGGUUCCAUCAGCAUCUCCAGGAAGGUGAGAGGACCCACAUCUUCUUAAACACUGGCUGGUCCAAAGAGCAUCAUCUGGGCCCAAGAACCCCUCAUAAGACAACCAGUUGGUGCUGAAACUCUGCUCCUAUUCACAGAGCAGGUGAGGGUGCUGUGGACUGGAAGUGGAGGAUAUGUUGAAGCAAGGGAUAUGCAUGGGUGGGAAGGUGGUUAAAAAGGGGAGAGAUCAAACACUGCAAAAGGACAUAUGAGAUCAAAGCACAGAGAGCCUAAGUGUCUGGGUGCAGAUGCGCCCAAGGCAAUGGAAGAGCUGGAAUCACAGCAACAGUUGAUGGCAAAUGACUGAGAUAUUUUGUUACCGAGGAGAUGCUAUCAGCAUCUCCAUGGUGAAGUUUUCUAAGGCUCAGUUCUGUACCCAAUUCUUUGCUUAACCCAGUGGAUUUCAACCUUCCCAGUGCUGUGACCCCUUAAUACAGUUCCUCUUGUUUAGGGUGACUCCCAGACAUAAAAUUAUUUUGUUGCUACUUCAAAACUGUAAUUUUGCUACAGUUAGGAAUUGCAAUGUAAAUAUCUGGUAUGCAAGAUAUCUGAUUUACAACCCCUGUGAAAGGGUCAUUUGAUUCCCACCAAAGGGGUCGUGACCCACAAGUUGAGGACCACUGUCUUAAUCCAUUCUUUCUCUAACUAGACUCACCCAUGCCAAGGAUUUCACUCACCACCUGACUCCCAGGUUCCCAUUUCUAGUUCAUGUGAUUCCUUGGAAACUCAACCCACUCAUGAUGUGACUCACCUGAUAUCUUCAUUUGUAUGGCACCCAAACACCCAGUGUCCUUCAAGACUGUCUCCAGCCCAGGCUGGCCCUAGUGAAUGACAUCAGGACUCAGGCUGGACCCUCCCUUCUCCCUCACGGCCUUAUCUGUCACCAGUGACUCUCGGUACCUGUUCCCUUGGCACCCGUUAAAGACAUAUCUACCUCUGUCCUCUUUUCAACCAUCUGAAUUGCCAUGCCUCUAGCUAAGCCACCAAAUAUGUCCAUUUAUGCUUACGUGAUGACUUAUGUCUGUCACCCACUUGGUUCUAUCUUGUAUAAGGGCAGCGACUGAGGUCAUAUGUUCUCGGCACCUUACCUCACACUCAGUAAACAUGUGCUGGGUUCCUGAAUGAAUAACUUUAUUUUACACUUUCAGCUGAUGUGAGGGUUAUUGAUAUGGUACUUUCUCGAACGUGGGCUGCAGAUCUUCAAGCUGAAACUGGAGGCAAUGCAUUCAGAUGGUCUAGGGGUUUAGGCCUUUGUCUAUGAAAGUUGAAUGAGGGGAUUCUAGGGAACCGAAUGCUCCGAGAUGAGAACCAGCCUCUCAUUAGGUCAUGCACAUGCGCACACACACUUGUUUGUGUCCCUGGCAAGCUCUUGUGCACUUACUUGGUAGGCAUCUUUAUUUGGGGAAUUAAUUAUAAAACCAACUCCGCACUAUUUCUGUGAUUAUGGAGCAAACAAACAAGAAAACUAAUUUCAUGCUGCCUGGCUUUCUGGCAAAGGGAAAAUUAAAAAUAGCAUUUUCACGAGCUGCCCUUUGAAAGUGCUUCUCUUGGUCAGAACAGUUCCCCAGGGAAAACAUCAUGAUUCCAAACCUACUCCAUAUUGGUUCCUGCUAGAGGUGACAGAUUCUGCUAACUCUGGACCGUGACAUUCUGGGUCAAGGUUACACAUGCUGCCUCUGCCAUCAGAACAGCCCAGUGCUAACAUAUCCCUUCUUUCAGGGAAAGGUCGUAAGAAGUCUUCUGUGGCAUUCUAGUAGAAUGGGUGAUGGGCAAGACUUGAAGGGAAGUGCUCUGGAGACCAGGCCCUCUUUCAGAUCCUCCUAGUCUAAGAUGUGUCUCCAAGGAAACCCCGAGCUUGAUUGCUUUUCUUGCUGUCAAGGGGAAGCUGAGUUUCCCUAAGGCAGAAAUCACAGGAAUUCACUCAACUUAUCUGCUGGCCUGUGAGGGUGCUCGGGAUUUGCGUGGUGAGGGCAGAGGUAUAGCCAAAAAGUUGUUAGGAACUAAGUCUGGGAUUAGAGAAACUAAGUUAUCUUCCUGGAUCUGCCACUUCUCCUGGAUGAGAAUUUGGGGGCAAUUUCCUAAAUAAUAUUUAGGAAAAUAUUUUUCUCACCCAUGAAAAGGAAUGAUGAUACUAGUUAUGUUACUAUAUAAGAUUUUGUGAGUUGUAUCGAUCCAAUGGUUCAGCACCUAGCAGCAGGAGAUAUACCUGAAAUUCCUUUUUGUGGAUUCCACUACAAGAAAGUUCUCAGGCCUUCAAGUUCACUGCUCAUUUGAAUAAAAGAAAAAUAGAAGCUAGAGGCUACUUCCCUUUGCUGCUGUCUUAUGAAACAAAUCCUCAAUUUAGAACCCACAUAUUUGGCCGACGAAAUGCCAUCAGGAGACAUGAGCUGGAACCUAGCAUCCCCAGCCAGCAGCCCCUUCUUUGUAUAUGUAUUAUAGAUCACAGUGCUUAAUGCUGCUUUACUAACUCUUGUUAGGUUGAUCUAAGCAUAUAUUGUUUUAAACUAGUGGUCAAACCCACAAUCUUAUGCAAGCUAGGUGUAUUCUCUUUCGCUGUGCCACGGUCCAGUUCCCCAUCUUUGGUUUCUCCUGAGGCAGGGAAUUGUUAAAUUGCCUAGGAUAGUUUGGAACUCAAGAUCUUCCUGUCUUAGUGUCCUGAGUAUCCGAGAUUUUGUUUGCCAUCGUACCUUCUUUCUUUGGGACUCUUUCUCCUUCAAAGAGGCACAUAACAGAGACUUGUCGGUUGUUCUUGGCCAUCAGAGAGUACAGAGCAGGAAGUCCCGUUUAUUUUUGGGCUAAGACUUCAACCACCCCAUACAGAUGACCCCUAAUGAGGUCAAUACAGCAGAGGCAGCAUCCACUCUGAAGGGCUGCUGUGCAGGGCCAGGCCCGUGCCUGGUGUGAGCUUGACUAGGGAGACUAAGGAGGCCAGCUGACUCGUACUGACUCCUUAGGCUGCCAUCUUGUGGCAACUGCCCUUAGUCCAGUUCUGCCUGCCAGUUCUAAUGUCUUCAAAGACGCCCCUCCUUGGUGUCUUACAUAAUACUCGCCUGUUUUGACAUGUGGGGCUCGGAGUCUUAACCUCCUCUAGAGGAGAAAAGCAGAAUGGGCAAGACAACUCCAGAAUGGGGCUUCUCCGCGUAGGUCAUCCAGGCCAGCGGUAGCUGCAGGGUGACCAGGCGAUGUGUCUGGGGCAGCAUGGCACUGGCACGAGUGAGGGUCACCACUUAUGUGGCUGAGCACUUCUUAUAUACGAGCCUAUUUACUCCUAACAACAGCCUACUGAGCUAUACCCUGCUUUCCAUCCCCACCGGCAACGGGCUCUCACCACGUAGUCCCAUCCAGCUUAGAAUUUGAUAUGUAGGCCAGGCUGGCCUUGAACUCACAGAGACCAGCCUGUUCCUGCCUUCUCAAGGCCUGGAUUAAAGGUGUGUGCACUGCACCUGGCCUAUUUCCCCCAUUUACGGAUGAAGAAACCAAGGCACGGAGACGUUGAAGCUCAAAAUUUUGAAGUAAAUUUGUGUUAGAAUUGGAAUUCAAAACUAAGGUUUUUCUAACUUUAAAGCCCAUGUUCUACCAUCCCCUACUGGCCUCCUGCACAGCCCUGGAGGAUAGGCUGUGAAGCCGCAUACCUGGGAGCCCGUCCUGGCUUAGCAACACUCACUCACUUCAUCUCAAAGUGGUGCGUCCUCACAGGAUGGUAGAAAGGACCAAAUGAGCAUGUCGGUACACUUAGUACAGUGCCCAGGACAGGUGAGGCCUCAGAAUGGAGGCCUUCCCUUUGGUUUGGAAGGAAAGAAGUGGGGGCUCUCACCUUUCUGCUUUGACCCUCUACCUUUGAAGCCUCUUCCUCCUCCUUUCAGCUCCAAAACACUUUUUGUAUUAACAUCAGGAGUUCCUUGACCCCCAGGUUCAUUUCUUCAUCGAGUUAGCUAUCUGGGCCUCACAGGAAAGUGUAAAGACCUUUGAACUUGAACUGAGGAGGUCUUGCCGCUAGUACAGCCUCUCUGAGCCUCAGUUUCCCCAUCAGGGAGACAGGAGAGCUGUCCAUACCCUGGGCUGAUGGGCAUGUGCGGUGCAUAUGCAACCACUUCCUGAUUCCCCAUCCACCGUAGACCAUGAUUAAUCAAUUGCAGCAUCUUCGUUCGUGAUCCUGAAUGUGGCACAGAGUCCUCCCUCACACAUGGAGGCAAUCACUGUCAACUGCUUAGAGUUGAAAUGACAGUUGGAGCCUCUGGGAUAUUUCUGGAGCCAUUUGCUAAAGGACCCUUUCAGCUCUGCCACUGUGGCUCUAGCAACCGUACCCGGUGGUGCUGAGAGAAGGCAAGGAGCCUAGGUCUGACCCCUAUAACGAGUGUAUCUAGCAGCUUUGUCAUUUUGGACAAGUAACUUACACUCCCUAAGCUCUGUUUCCUAAUUUGUAAUUUGGGAGUUUUAACACAUGCUCUCUUUCUUGGCAUUACCGUGAGACUGAAACCUCUGUAGCUUUUUGUCGGUGGGGCCUACACAUUACAGCCACACCCUCUGUGUUUAGGACAGGGCCUGGUCCAGAGCAGCACGGUAGAAUGUUAAAUCUGUAGAAAGAGAAGGAGCCACAAACACAUGCAGAAUGUCUAGAGAAGCGGUACUCAGUCUUUACGGAAUAUAAAGGUAGUGACCGGAGCCCUUGCAGCAUGUACAUUCCAAGGUGCCAAGGAGAUCAUACAGAUGGCUGAGGUGGGGCUUGGGUAGCCUGUUUUCAAGCGGCCAUCCUAGGAAUCCUGCUGUAGGCAGUCUGUGGGAAGCCUGGGCUCAGGAUGAGCGUGGCAGUUAACACCAUUAAGUCGGCCUGCCUUUGUUUUCCAGGAGUGCCUCACACCAGGGAGGGAGGUACAGGGAAGGAUAACUGUGCCUGCUUCUCACACCUUGUUGGCUACCUGAGACACAGGUCCCCAGCUGACAGAUGCUCUUAGCUGUUACACUCUGGCCUGAGAGGCAUGCUCAGAAAGGUCACAAGUAAAACGAGAGCACCAGGGUCUGAGGCCAUUCUCAGCUGUCUUGUGAGGAUCCUACAUAACUCUCCUCAACUUCAGCUACAAGCCCAGAUCAUGUUCUUUGUGAAGAAACAAGAACAGACUGGCUGGUGAAUGUGUGUGUGUGUGUGUGUGUGUGUUUGUGUGUGUGUGCGUGCGCGCGUGUGCGUGCGUGUGUGCUCUGUGAUCCCAUGCUGAUUUAACUGUCUACAUGGAUCCAAAAACAAGAAGUAGAAAGUAAAAAGCAAAUUAACAUCUGGGCCUUUUAUUCUUCUUCUCUGCAUUCAACAAGCAGAGAGCUUUGCAAAGCCCUAUUCUGUAGUUGGUUGUUUUUCUACUCUUACUCUUUGGACUGUUUUGCUCUUUAUUCUUUUGGGGGACCUGCCACCCAGCUCCCAAAUAAAUACAUGGAGGCUUAUUCUUACUUGUAAAUGCCCGGUGUUAGCUUGACUUGUUUCUAGCCAGCUUUUCUUAAAUUAUCCUGUCUACCUUUUGCCUCUGGGCUUUACCUUUUUCUGUUUCUGUAUAUCCCUCUUUAUUUCUUAUUCUGUGGCUGGCUGUGUAACUGAGUGGCUGGCUCCUGAUCUCCUCCCAGAUUUCUCCUUCUGUUUAUUCUCUCUGCCUGCCAACCCCCACUUAUCUUUCCUCCUGCUUCACUAUUGGCAAUUCAACUCUUUCUUAGCCCAAUCAGGUGUUCUAGGCAGGCAAAGUAACACAGCUUCACAGAGUUAAACAAAUGCAACAUAAAAGAAUGCAACACAUCUUUGUAUCAUUAAACAAAUGUUCCAUAGCAUACACAAAUGUAACACAUCUUAAAAUAAUAUUCCAUAACAUCAUUCAUUAGGUAGAAAUGGAAGUCUCUCAACCUGUGCUUCAGCGUGUGCUAAGGCAGUCUAUAUGGAGAUAGCUCCCAUCACAGGAACCCCUGCCAGCUCUCUGCUUUCAAAACCAGGGCUCAGUGGGCAUAGCCUGAAAUUCCUCUGGUCUCUUGGUACUGAAUUUGGAACACCAACUGAUGUUUCUCAACUGAUGGCCCCGCAUCCCUAGUGAUAGUGUCUUGGGUUCUUUGUCUCCCUGAGUUCUGCUGUGGUCCCCUGCCCCAAUUUAGAUACUCCACUGUGUCUGUUUCUGCAACUCUUCAAACCCUACUAACUCAUGACAAGUUCACCAGGACUUAGGACAAGCAAGACAUCAUCAAAAUUGGGUUAAAGGAAGCCUAGCCUGAGCCACAUGCCUGCUUUUGCUUGGUCUUAGAUGGCUAGGAAUAUUUUGGAGAAUGUUCUUGCUGAAGUAAAGUGUGACACCUGGAUGUCCCACUCAAUACCCAGACUCCUUUAGGGCUCCCUGCUGCCCUAGCCAGUGCUUCCUUUCUCCCAAAUGAAACCAGAUGACUGGGGUGGGCAGCAAGGGUAGUUUGAAGGGACCCAGGGAAAGUUGAGCUUCUGAUCCACCAACUGCCCCAACCUGCUUCUGAACGGGUUUAUCCAUGAACAAACACCCAAAUUUCUUUCAUCUCCCAAUCACCCAGAAUCUGAUCCCUUAUUUAGUCCUGAAACGCGGAAGCUAAUCUUUUAUUUAUCUCUACUGUAAUCCCACUUCAGGCUCUGUAUGGAACAUUCCCACUAGGGAACAAACUCUAGGAUUUCAGAAAGACCCCCAGUUGGGAAAGUAUAAGGGUUUAGGAGGGAAAGUAAAACCAGGCUGAGGAUGUUUUGGCUCCGUGUGUGAGCUGGAGGAAGAAUGCAGAUCAUUUGGGUUCCUGGGGUAGGUAAUGAGCUUUUUGGGUAAGCUCCUGAUCACUUAGCCACAGAGGAUGGGGGAAGAGCGGGGAUGCUUUGCUGAGAUAUCUCACAGCCUUUUCUUUUUUUUUUUUUUUCCUUUUUCUUUUUGGGUUUUUGAGACAGGGUUUCUCUGUAAUUUUGGAGCCUGUCCUGGAACUAGCUCUUGUAGCCCAGGAUGACCUCGAACUCACAGAGAUCUGCCUGCCUCUGCCUCCUGAAUGCUGGAACUAAAGGCGUGCACCACCACUGCCUGGCUUCACAGUCUUUUCUUAAUGGCAUCUUGGCCCUAAAGCCAGAAAAAAGAUCACUGAAAGUCACUGCUGCUCAGAGUGUAAGUUUUACUCCUGGUGGAUUGGAGCCAAACUGCAGAAUCAGCAUGGAAGAUAGGGACAAUGCGGUAGGUAGAGAGAAGGCCUGCCCCUUCUCCCCAUCUGCCCAAUCUCAGCCAGUUGACCCAAACGCGUGGCCUCUGACUGGCUUCUAGAAUACCCUCUCUGUUCAUUUCCACCUUCAUCUCCCAUUCAUCCCCUCUGCUCUGGUCUGUCACUGGUGUUUCUGAGAUUCAGCUUCAAAACGUAGAGAUGGGUGGGUCUUUGAGGUCUAGUCUAACACCUUCCCAUUUAACAGAUGUGAGGUAAUAAGAGCCUGAGAAGAGGUGGGGCUUUCCCCCCAGAGUCUCAUCACUCAAGAAAACAUAAUGGUUAGUUUCUUCCAUUGUUCAGAUCUGUGUACCUAGGGCUGACUCAUUCUCAAGAGGCAAAUGUGUUCUUGUGACCAACAUCAGCAUCUCUUCUGAGUGAGGCCCUAUGGCUCUGCCUCUACCCUGGUCUACUUCAUUUUUCCUGCCUCUUCAUUUGGAAAUUAUCUGAUGGUCUCCAGAGAAAGAUUUGCAAGCACUGUUGGUGUCUUUCAGUGACCCUAGCUGGGAUGUGCUGUAUAUGAGGAGCCGCAGGAAACUCUUCAGAAGGACGCCUCUGUCCUUUGGGAUCUCACUAGAGACUGUCUGUUAGUUCAUGUAUGGUGCUACACCAGGAUUCCCGAGGCAUGGUGGCUUCUCAAUAACAGGACUUUCUUCAUCACCGUUCUGGAAUCUGGGAAAUCUGUCAUCAAGAAAAGAACAAGCUGCCCAGGAAUCCCAGAACUUUGAAGGAAGAGGCAGGAGGAUCUCUGAGUUUGAAGUCAACUUGGUUUACACAGAAAGGCUCUGUCUCAAAAAAGGGUUUCUCUGUGUAGCCUGGCUGUCCUGGAACUGACUCCGUAGACCAGGAUGGCCUCAAACUCAGAGAUCCACCUGCAUCUGCCCCCAGUGCUGGGAUUAAAGACAUGUGCCACCACAUCCAGAUGUCAUUGUGCCCCUUUGUGAUGAAACAAUGUCACAGUUUCUUCUCCCCACUAAAUAUUACUUCCCCUAACUCUUAUCUUAAUAAUAAUCAUAAUAAAAAACUA